This 727-nucleotide ribosomal RNA is filed under the name Lactiplantibacillus pentosus. Its description in RNAcentral is "bacterial SSU rRNA". It matches the Rfam family "Bacterial small subunit ribosomal RNA", at positions 56 to 750 of the family's 1533-position model. The record is from RNAcentral. Lineage: Bacteria; Bacillati; Bacillota; Bacilli; Lactobacillales; Lactobacillaceae.
UGCAGUCGACGAACUCUGGUAUUGAUUGGUGCUUGCAUCAUGAUUUACAUUUGAGUGAGUGGCGAACUGGUGAGUAACACGUGGGAAACCUGCCCAGAAGCGGGGGAUAACACCUGGAAACAGAUGCUAAUACCGCAUAACAACUUGGACCGCAUGGUCCGAGUUUGAAAGAUGGCUUCGGCUAUCACUUUUGGAUGGUCCCGCGGCGUAUUAGCUAGAUGGUGGGGUAACGGCUCACCAUGGCAAUGAUACGUAGCCGACCUGAGAGGGUAAUCGGCCACAUUGGGACUGAGACACGGCCCAAACUCCUACGGGAGGCAGCAGUAGGGAAUCUUCCACAAUGGACGAAAGUCUGAUGGAGCAACGCCGCGUGAGUGAAGAAGGGUUUCGGCUCGUAAAACUCUGUUGUUAAAGAAGAACAUAUCUGAGAGUAACUGUUCAGGUAUUGACGGUAUUUAACCAGAAAGCCACGGCUAACUACGUGCCAGCAGCCGCGGUAAUACGUAGGUGGCAAGCGUUGUCCGGAUUUAUUGGGCGUAAAGCGAGCGCAGGCGGUUUUUUAAGUCUGAUGUGAAAGCCUUCGGCUCAACCGAAGAAGUGCAUCGGAAACUGGGAAACUUGAGUGCAGAAGAGGACAGUGGAACUCCAUGUGUAGCGGUGAAAUGCGUAGAUAUAUGGAAGAACACCAGUGGCGAAGGCGGCUGUCUGGUCUGUAACUGACGCUGAG